AGCUCCAAUAGGAUAUAUCAAAGUUGUUGCAGUUGAAAAGCUCGUAGUCGUAUUUCUGGUGGGUUGAUGCUUUUGUGUGGGCGAACGAAAGUUUGUCUGCUCUUGGGCCGCCUGCCAUUUUGUGGAACUACGUGGCGGGGUUGUGAUUCAUUUUAUGACCUCGUCGCGCCACUCCGUCACUGAGAGCAAAUUGGAGUGCUCAAAGCAGGCUUUACAGCUUUGAACAUCUUAGCUUGGAAUGACAAAGUAUGACUUUUUGUUCACUUUGUUGGUUAUGAACGAGAAGUAAUGAUAAAUAGGAACAGUUGCGGGGGUACUCGUACUGGAAAGUCAGAGGUGAAAUUCUUGGAUUUUUCCAUGACGAACGACUGCGAAAGCAUUUACCAAGGAUGUUUUCAUUG
This 401-nucleotide ribosomal RNA is filed under the name Amphifilaceae sp. RNAcentral describes it as "partial small subunit ribosomal RNA". It matches the Rfam family "Eukaryotic small subunit ribosomal RNA", at positions 587 to 975 of the family's 1831-position model. Lineage: Eukaryota; Bigyra; Amphifilida; Amphifilaceae. The record is from RNAcentral.